RNAcentral lists this long non-coding RNA (735 nucleotides) under Onthophagus taurus. RNAcentral's name for it is "uncharacterized LOC111426039, transcript variant X2". The record is from RNAcentral. Lineage: Eukaryota; Metazoa; Arthropoda; Insecta; Coleoptera; Scarabaeidae.
UAAAUAAAUAAACAAACAAAGAUAAAAUUAUUCUUAAUUUUUAAAAUGUUAUUUUCUUUGAAAAAAGUUAAUGUCUUUUUUAUGUAUGACUCUUUAUCCAACUCAACGAGGCCUGCAUUUUUGUCUCCCAUGGUAACAAUACGAUUUUCUAUUUUAAUUUUAUGUUUCAGAUUUUUAAUGAUGCGAAGAAUUAAUUUAGUAUGGAAAGAUUUUAUGUUGACGUUCUUAUUCCCACUCGUUUUCCCUCACUCUUUCACCUUUAUCAUCUGGCGAACGUUCCUUAUGACCUUCAGUCCAAUUUCAUCCCUCAUCAUGUUGACUCAAGUUAUUUAAUUUUAAAGGAAAUUUUAACGUGUUAAUUGUUUGGUAAUUUGUUUUGUCGUUAAUUUUUAACAUUUAUUUUUAAACACUUUGAAAAACGAGAUUUACGAUGAAUAGAAAAACGCCAUUUUAAUUUUUUGGAUUUUUCAAUUUACUCUUCAAGUUUUUUUACAUUUGAAUUUUUCGUAAACGGAAUCUUUUUGAAGAAAUACUCUGAAACAAUACUCUCUUCACUCUCGAUGCUCCUACACCGACGUCCUGCCUGAAGAAGAACGAUAAUCGUUCGAAAUCUUCGAAGAUAGCACCGAAAUAAAAUAUUUUCAUCGUUUAUACGACUUUUAAUUUUUUUUAGCAGCAAAAAACCAUACAACUUACCUGGAAAAAAACCACCAAAUCGAUAAUAGAGGCAUCUCC